Centruroides sculpturatus (bark scorpion) is the source of this 1853-nucleotide RNA transcript. RefSeq lists it as uncharacterized. The record is from RefSeq and is a predicted model, not a curated record. Lineage: Eukaryota; Metazoa; Arthropoda; Arachnida; Scorpiones; Buthidae. The transcript has 7 exons.
UUACUAAUUAAACAUUCGCUGAAAGUAAAUGAAUGAAUACACGUAAUCGAUAAAGGGUAAUGAAACGUCGCCAUGUUACAAGUCCUUUUCGAAGAUAGAGAAUAUAAUACACUUCGUGUAUCUUUUUGGUCAAAUCGAACAAUACGAACAAAUCAAACCUCGAUGGAAUGUUUUAAGAUGGUUUUGGAUGAAAAACAUUCUACUCCAACUACUGCGUAUUAUGAAGAUAAAGUGGAAGUACCGUACUGUACUGUACCUGGAAAAGUUGUAAUAAUAACAUAUAAAUUGUAGUUUAAACGAUUCUACCUAGUUUAGUAAGGAUAGUUUCGUUGUCAUCUACUAAGGUACUGUACAUAAAACAUCUCGAAGAUCUUCAAAUGUCUCUUUUGAAAUAGUCCCUCUUUUUACUUGAAUUAUCUUCAGUGAAAGAAGAAACAAACAAGGAAAAUCCUUAGAAUUUAAAAUUAUCGCAAUUACUGUUACGUUGCGUUAAAUUAACAUUUAUCCGUACAUUUAGCAGUAUUUACAAAGGACGGUGCUUUCUUUUCCGCUUUGUUCAUCGCCUAAACGUAUCCUAAGCCAGCUAAGGAAUAUUUUGCAGGAAGAAUGCGCUUGAGCAUCUCUCUGGUCGAGUCGAUGCCACGCCCUGUAAAUGCUGUACUUCCAGCUAAAGAUCAUCCUAUUCGUUAUGAAACUUUCGUAAUUUUCGUGUGUGCUAGUCGUGUAAAUGGUGCGGAGAAAUUGUAGAUGUAUUUUUUUAAUGCUAUUAUUUGGGAAACUAAAUGUCUACCUCGAAAGGGAUCAUGGAGCGAGAGAACGUCCAAAUCGCUUUUUGUUUGGAAGUAAAAUACCUUUUUCAUGUUUCAGCAAAACUUCAUCUAUUUUUAUGCCUGCUAAAAAGUUUCUACAAAUGUGAAGAAUGAAAAAAAUUUUAAAUCUAGUGAAACGAAACAAAUGCUGUGUAGACAAAACUGAAUCUGCAACAUCCAAUAUGCAAGAAGCGAAAAAAAUUACGGAACAUCAUCCGGAAGCAGAAAGCAACGACAAUAAUUCGAGAACAAAGAUGGAAAAAAAUACAAAAGAUGAUAAAAAUAACCGUAAAUCGAUGAAAAUAUUUAAAAAUACACGAGAAAGUUCAUCUAAAAAAAAUCAAGAUGAACCAAAAUUAGAAUACAAGGAGAUAAUAAAUCAAAUUAUAGAUGAAGACAUGCAUUCUUCGACAUCAUCCAUAACUAUAAUAGAUCCAGAGAGAUCGAAAGAGAAGUUAGUUGAUGGCGGAAUCGAGUCGGAAUCUGCCACAAUUCAAGAAAAGCAUCACAUACCUUUUCUUCCUCAUCGUCCACCCACCCCUAAAAGAAAUAAGCAACUACAAGUUAAGGCUGUUAAAGACAGAUCGACUUCGAUUACUGGAUUUUCCGUGGAAGACGAGCAUUUAUCUUCCAAAAAUCGAAUUUAUUCUCACGAAAUAACUCGUGAAGUUUAUAAAUGUAAAAGAAUUUAAUUUUAUUAAUUUUAAUAUCAUGAACGUACUCAAAAAUAGCGCGUAAUUUUUAUUUAUAAUUUCGUAUUGAUAACAAUUGAAUUUAUUUUAUUAAACUAAAAAUAAAUUGUCAUCGUCAAUCGUUCAAAUUUCAUGUAAAUUAAUGAAAAUUUUAUUUAAAAAAUAAGCGAAGGAAUAAAUUUAUUUACUGUUUACUUACAAAAAUGCCUUUUAGGCUAAAUAAUGCUUAAUAUAAUAAAAGAAAUUAUUUGACUGGUUGUAAUUAAAUACAAAAAAAGGCACAAAAUACUUCCACAUUUUAAAGAAUCCUAUACCGCAAAUGAAAAUAUAAACAAAAUAAAACAAUUAAUAA